Molecule: RNase MRP RNA, 421 nt
Filed under: Piloderma croceum F 1598
Lineage: Eukaryota; Fungi; Basidiomycota; Agaricomycetes; Atheliales; Atheliaceae
Description: RNase MRP
Rfam family: RNase MRP
About the family: RNase MRP is an enzymatically active ribonucleoprotein with two distinct roles in eukaryotes. In mitochondria it plays a direct role in the initiation of mitochondrial DNA replication. In the nucleus it is involved in precursor rRNA processing, where it cleaves the internal transcribed spacer 1 between 18S and 5.8S rRNAs.
Source: Rfam by way of RNAcentral
GCGCCGUCUGAAGAAUCGCUAUCGCAGCUCACAUACAGAGAGCUCAUCGCUCAUCUAUUUCAGCUGUGGGGAAAGUCCCCGGAGAUACAGAGCCCCAAUCCUCGUCCAGAUUUGUGCGGAAAGCGCCCAGCUCUAAGCACGUUGGGACUGAACGAAGGACGGCGAGAAUGACCUUGCUCAGCGUCUUCGCAUACUCGCGCCGCACACUGUAGCUCCAUCUCAUCCACUCUGUUGCACAUCCCAUAGCGCUCAGCUCAUCAAAGGCACAGACAUGCGAAGAUACGAGCGUGUCUGUUGUUCGGCUUGAAGUGUCAGUAGGAUGGGCACUUCGUUGCUCAUAGACACAGUUAUGCGAUUGUAGACUCGCGAAACAUUAGUUUCACGAUGUCAUCAACUCAAUGGGGCUUACUCUCGGUCGGCG